CUCCUUUCAAAACCCAAGGCCACGUCCAACCUCACAGGCCCAAACCACGCUUACAUAACCCGCAGUGACACUAAGUGUUUGUGAGGCCUGCUGAAGUGGGGCUGGGGCUGCCUGCUCUGGAGCACAGGGGACAUUUUGUCCUGCAAAAUGAUGCUGUUUGGGGCGUGUGCGUGAGCGCGUGUUUUUCCCCUCCUGAAGUUCAAAAACAACUCCUUUUGCUCAAACUGUCAAAAAAGAGAAGAAGAAGAAAAAAAAGAAGAAGAAAGUCUGCAAUAAUUUCAGUGUUGGGCCCAGAUCAAGAAUUGCAAACACUAAGAUAAUAUUUUCCAAAGUUACCAGGCGAGUAGGAGUCGCCGAGUUACGGGAAAUUGGAGGCUGACCUGGUGUAACUUCCAGGGGCCCCGUCUCCUGGCUGCUUCCUCAACGGUGGUGGGCUUUUUCCUGUGAUCAUUACAGCUCACCGUGAUCUUGUCCUUACUACAUGCCAGGUUCCAGAGAGCUUUUCCUGACCACGCUGAGAGGGAGGUGUGACUACGGAAGAAUGGCUGGAGAGAGGCAACGCUGCUUGGCUUUGAAGAUGGAAGGAGAAAGCCAGGAGCUAAGGAAUGCAGUAACCUCCAGGAUCUGGAAGAGGCAAGAGGACAGGAGCUCCUCUAGAGUCUCUGGAAAGGAGCACAGCCCCAGCACCUCGAUUUUAGCCCAGUCUGACCCAUGGCUGCCUUCAGACCUCCGGAACUGUCAAUUCAUAAAUUGGUUUUGUUUUAAGCCUUAUAAGUUUGUGGUAAUUUGUUACAGCAGC
RNAcentral lists this long non-coding RNA (799 nucleotides) under Homo sapiens (human). RNAcentral describes it as "HSALNT0405489". Lineage: Eukaryota; Metazoa; Chordata; Mammalia; Primates; Hominidae. The record is from RNAcentral.